RNAcentral lists this ribosomal RNA (463 nucleotides) under uncultured bacterium. Its description in RNAcentral is "partial 16S ribosomal RNA". It matches the Rfam family "Bacterial small subunit ribosomal RNA", at positions 28 to 507 of the family's 1533-position model. The record is from RNAcentral.
GACGAACGCUGGCGGCGUGCUUAACACAUGCAAGUCGAACGGAAAGGCCCGGCUUUGGUGGGGUGCUCGAGUGGCGAACGGGGGAGUAACACGUGAGUAACCUGCCCUUGACUUUGGGGGAACUUCAGGAAAGUGGGGCUCAUACCGGAUAGGAGCUCCUGCUGCAGGGUGGGGGUUGGAAAGUUUCGUCGGUUGGGGGUGGAAUCGCGGUUGAUUAGUUUGUUGGUAGGGUGGUAGCCGACCAAGGCGACGACGCAUAGCUGGCCUGAGAGGCUGAUCGGCCACACUGGGGCUGAGACACAGCCCAGACUCGUACGGGAGGCAGCGGUGGAGUAUACUGGACGAUGGGCGAAAGCCUAGCCCAGCAAUGCCGCGUGAGUGAUGAAGGCCUUAGGGUUGUGAAGCUCUUUUAGCCGGGAUGAUAAUGACAGUACCGGGAAAAUAAGCUCCGGCUAACUCCGUG